RNAcentral lists this ribosomal RNA (301 nucleotides) under uncultured bacterium. RNAcentral's name for it is "partial 16S ribosomal RNA". It matches the Rfam family "Bacterial small subunit ribosomal RNA", at positions 509 to 807 of the family's 1533-position model. The record is from RNAcentral.
CAGCAGCCGCGGGAAUACGUAGGUGGCAAGCGUUGUCCGGAAUUAUUGGGCGUAAAGGGCUCGCAGGCGGUUUCUUAAGUCUGAUGUGAAAGCCCCCGGCUCAACCGGGGAGGGUCAUUGGAAACUGGGAAACUUGAGUGCAGAAGAGGAGAGUGGAAUUCCACGUGUAGCGGUGAAAUGCGUAGAGAUGUGGAGGAACACCAGUGGCGAAGGCGACUCUCUGGUCUGUAACUGACGCUGAGGAGCGAAAGCGUGGGGAGCGAACAGGAUUAGAUACCCGCGUAGUCCCUGUCUCUUAUAC